UUUUUCUUCCUGAUGAAAACUACCACGGAUGUCGAGCACUCAGUGUUCAUUUGUCCGAGAGCGCAAAACCCCAUGUGGAUACUCCCGUUGCCUUCCUUCUGACCUAUACU
Molecule: small nucleolar RNA, 110 nt
Filed under: Hypholoma sublateritium FD-334 SS-4
Lineage: Eukaryota; Fungi; Basidiomycota; Agaricomycetes; Agaricales; Strophariaceae
Description: Small nucleolar RNA Z13/snr52
Rfam family: Small nucleolar RNA Z13/snr52
About the family: Z13 or snr52 is a member of the C/D class of snoRNA which contain the C (UGAUGA) and D (CUGA) box motifs. Most of the members of the box C/D family function in directing site-specific 2'-O-methylation of substrate RNAs.
Source: Rfam by way of RNAcentral